GGUCUGAACUCAGAUCACGUAAGAAAUUAAAAGUCGAACAGACUUAAUAAUUAAGCUACUGCACCUAAUAUUAUAUCUUAAUCCAACAUCGAGGUCGCAAUCUUUAUUAUCAAUAAGAACUUUCCAAAAAAAUUACGCUGUUAUCCCUAAAGUAACUUAAUUUAAUAAUCCAUAAUAAAGGAUCAAAAACUCAUAAAUCAAUGUAAUUAAAAUUAAAAGUUAUUUAAAUUUUAAUAUCUCCCCAAUAAAAUAUAAAUUUUAAUUAUAAUAUAAUAUAUCUAAAUUAUUAAAACUAAAUUCUAUAUAAAGAUUUAUAGGGUCUUCUCGUCUUUCAAAUCAAUUUUAGCUUUUUAACUAAAAAAUAAAAUUCUAUUAUAAAUUUAAUUGAAACAGUUAAUAUUUUAUCCAACCAUUCAUUCCAGCCUUCAAUUAAAAGACUAAUUAUUAUGCUACCUUUGCACAGUUAAUAUACUGCGGCCAUUCAAAAAUUCAGUGGGCAGGCUAGACUUUAAACUUAUUUCUAAAAGACAUGUUUUUGUAAA
Molecule: ribosomal RNA, 542 nt
Filed under: Tomosvaryella sp. A
Lineage: Eukaryota; Metazoa; Arthropoda; Insecta; Diptera; Pipunculidae
Description: partial 16S ribosomal RNA
Source: RNAcentral